This 1463-nucleotide ribosomal RNA is filed under the name uncultured Bordetella sp. Its description in RNAcentral is "partial 16S-23S ribosomal RNA intergenic spacer". It matches the Rfam family "Bacterial small subunit ribosomal RNA". The record is from RNAcentral. Lineage: Bacteria; Pseudomonadati; Pseudomonadota; Betaproteobacteria; Burkholderiales; Alcaligenaceae.
UGAUCAUGGCUCAGAUGAACGCUGGCGGGAUGCUUUACCUUCACAGUCGAACGCUUACUUCGGACUUCGGUCUGGUGGCGAGUGGCGAACAGGUGAGCAAUGUAUCGGAACGUUACCUGAAGUAGCGCGGGGAUGCUACGCGAAAGCGUAGCUAAUACGCGCAUACGCCCUUCGGGGAAAGCGAGGCCUUCAGACUCUGCCUAUUAGAGCGGCCGAUAUCGGAUUAGUAGUUGGUGGUGGCGCAGCGCCCGCAAGGCGACGAUCCGUAGCUGGUUUGAGGAGGACGACCAGCCACACUGGGACUGGACACGGCCCAGACUUCUCCUACGGGAACGCAGCAGUGGGGAAUUUUGGACAAUGGGAAACCUGAUCCAGCCAUCCCGCGUGUGCGAUGAAGGCCUUCGGGUUGUAAAGCACUUUUGGCAGGAAAGAAACGGCACGGGAUAAUACCCCGUGCAACUGACGGUACUGCAGAAUAAGCACCGGCCUUCUAACUAAGAGUACCAGCAGCCGCAGUAAUACGUAAGUGCAAGCGUUAAUCAGAUUACUGGGCGUCAAGCGUUGCGCGAGCAGGUUCAGAAGAAAAGAUGUGAAAUCCCAGAGCAUAACUUUGGAACUGCAUUUUUAACUACCGAGCUAGAAUACAUGAUCAGGGAGGUGGGGUCGCGUGUAUGGUGUGCGUAGAUAUGCGGAGGAACACCGAUGGCGAAGGCAGCCUCUGGAUAUUACCCCGACGCUCUGCACAGCAGUGAGGCAAACAGGAUUAGAUGCCCUGGUAGUCCACGCCUAAACGAUCAACUAGCUGUUGGGGCCUUCAGGGCGGCGAAGUGGCCUGUGCUGCGUGAGGAUUGACCGCCACAGGAGUACGGUCGCAAGAUUAAACUCAAGAUUGGCGGGGACCCGCAAGCGGUGGAUGAUGUGGAUUAAUUCGGUAUUACGAAAAAGCCUUACCUACGCCAACAUGUCCCGGAAUCCGAAGAAGUUGGAGUGCUCGCAAGAGGAGCCGGAACACAGGUGCUGCAUGGCUGUCGUCAGCUCGUGUCGUGAGAUGUUGGGUUAAGUCCCGCGACGACGCAACCCUUGUCAUUAGUUGCUACGAAGGGCGCUCUAAUGGCCGCGAGUGACAAGCCGGAGGAAGUGCGAGGAUGACGUCAGUCCUCGCGCUGCCAUAUGGUGAGCUACAUCUUUAAAUGGUCGGGACAGAGGGUCGCCAACCGCGAGGAGCCAAUCCCAGAAACCCGAUCAGCAGUCCGGAUCGCAGUCUGCAACUCGACUGCGUGGUGAAGUCAGAAUCGCGCCGGUAAUCGCGGAUCAGCAUCAUCCAUGAUCGGGCCAUUACCGGUCUUCCACUUUCGCCACGUCACACCAUGGGAAUUUGGUUUACCAGAAAGUGAUUAUUAUCUUAUUAGGAAGGCGGUCACACCACGGUAAAGUUCAGGCUGGGGUAGAAGUCAUAUCGAUAG